This 449-nucleotide ribosomal RNA is filed under the name uncultured bacterium. RNAcentral describes it as "partial 16S ribosomal RNA". It matches the Rfam family "Bacterial small subunit ribosomal RNA", at positions 29 to 523 of the family's 1533-position model. The record is from RNAcentral.
AGCGAACGCUGGCGGCAGGCCUAACACAUGCAAGUCGAACGAACUCUUCGGAGUUAGUGGCGGACGGGUGAGUAACACGUGGGAACGUGCCUUUAGGUUCGGAAUAACUCAGGGAAACUUGUGCUAAUACCGAAUGUGCCCUUCGGGGGCAAGAUUUAUCGCCUUUAGAGCGGCCCGCGUCUGAUUAGCUAGUUGGUGAGGUAAAGGCUCACCAAGGCGACGAUCAGUAGCUGGUCUGAGAGGAUGAUCAGCCACAUUGGGACUGAGACACGGCCCAAACUCCUACGGGAGGCAGCAGUGGGGAAUCUUGCGCAAUGGGCGAAAGCCUGACGCAGCCAUGCCGCGUGAAUGAUGAAGGUCUUAGGAUUGUAAAAUUCUUCCACCGGGGACGAUAAUGACGGUACCCGGAGAAGAAGCCCCGGCUAACUUCGUGCCAGCCGCCGCAGUAA